CCUACGGGAGGCAGCAGUGGGGAAUAUUGCACAAUGGGGGAAACCCUGAUGCAGCGACGCCGCGUGAGCGAAGAAGGUUUUCGGAUCGUAAAGCUCUGUCCUUGGGGAAGAAAAUGACGGUACCCAAGGAGGAAGCCCCGGCUAACUACGUGCCAGCAGCCGCGGUAAUACGUAGGGGGCGAGCGUUGUCCGGAAUUACUGGGCGUAAAGGGUACGUAGGCGGUCAAUUAAGUCAGGUGUAAAAGGCAUAGGCUCAACCAAUGUAAGCACUUGAAACUGAAUGACUUGAGUAUAGGAGAGGUAAGCGGAAUUCCUAGUGUAGCGGUGAAAUGCGUAGAUAUUAGGAGGAACACCAGUGGCGAAGGCGGCUUACUGGACUAUUACUGACGCUGAGGUACGAAAGCGUGGGGAGCAAACAGGAUUAGAUACCCUGGUAGUCCACGCCGUAAACGAUGAGUGCUAGGCGUCGGCGAGAGAUCGUCGGUGCCGGAGUUAACGCAAUAAGCACUCCGCCUGGGGAGUACGGUCGCAAGAC
This 535-nucleotide ribosomal RNA is filed under the name uncultured Dethiosulfatibacter sp. RNAcentral's name for it is "bacterial SSU rRNA". It matches the Rfam family "Bacterial small subunit ribosomal RNA", at positions 338 to 894 of the family's 1533-position model. The record is from RNAcentral. Lineage: Bacteria; Bacillati; Bacillota; Tissierellia.